This 313-nucleotide small nuclear RNA is filed under the name Notechis scutatus (mainland tiger snake). Its description in RNAcentral is "7SK RNA (ENSNSUG00000012325.1)". It matches the Rfam family "7SK RNA". Rfam says of the family: 7SK was discovered as an abundant small nuclear RNA in the mid-70s but a possible function has only recently been suggested. Lineage: Eukaryota; Metazoa; Chordata; Lepidosauria; Squamata; Elapidae. The record is from Rfam by way of RNAcentral.
GGAUGUGAGGAUUAUCUGUCUGCGCCAUCUGUCACCCCAUUGAUACCACAGUUAAUUCAGCUGAUCUGGCUAGCUAGGCAGGUGUUCCCUUCCUCCAUUCCACUCCAUUUUUAUUUUUCCAUGAACUGUGUGCUCAUGGAAGAGACAACUAAUUUAGGGAGGAGUGUAUCAAUCUUUAGGCAAGGGUAUGAUAUCUGUGCUCACCUUCUAGAACCUACAAACAAACCUUUUCCUCCAUCCAUUUGCCUAUUCCUUUCCCAGUCUUGAGAUAUAAUAAUGCAUCUCAAUGGCUUUGUUUGAUCAGCCGUGCUUG